GCCGUUUCAUCGAGGAGGUUAAGAGACUGAGCACAGAUCGAGACCAAAGUUGCCGGCGUCAAGUCUUGGACCGAUGCAACGUUGCUUGGGAUUGAAACGCCGGCGUUCUGGAGCGACUUCAACAACACAUCCUCGUACUCCUCCAUAAGGACUCCUCUCUCUCGAUGGAAAGGUUCUCUCUUUUUGCGUUGUUUUCUGCGUUUUCGUCCUCCGCUAUGUUU
RNAcentral lists this unclassified non-coding RNA (221 nucleotides) under Hevea brasiliensis (rubber tree). Lineage: Eukaryota; Viridiplantae; Streptophyta; Magnoliopsida; Malpighiales; Euphorbiaceae. The record is from RNAcentral.